AGUCGACGAAGCACUUUGAUCGAUUUCUUCGGAUUGAAAUUUUAGUGACUGCGUUGCGGACGGGUGAGUAACGCGUGGGUAACCUGCCUCACACCGUGGGAUAACAGUUGGAAACGGCUGCUAAUACCGCAUAAGCGCACAGUACCGCAUGGUACAGUGUGAAAAACUCCGGUGGUGUGAGAUGGACCCGCGUCUGAUUAGCUAGUUGGCAGGGCAACGGCCUACCAAGGCGACGAUCAGUAGCCGACCUGAGAGGGUGACCGGCCACAUUGGGACUGAGACACGGCCCAAACUCCUACGGGAGGCAGCAGUGGGGAAUAUUGCACAAUGGGGGAAACCCUGAUGCAGCGACGCCGCGUGAGCGAAGAAGUAUUUCGGUAUGUAAAGCUCUAUCAGCAGGGAAGAAGAAAUGACGGUACCUGACUAAGAAGCACCGGCUAAAUACGUGCCAGCAGCCGCGGUAAUACGUAUGGUGCAAGCGUUAUCCGGAUUUACUGGGUGUAAAGGGAGCGCAGGCGGAAGGCUAAGUCUGAUGUGAAAGCCCGGGGCUCAACCCCGGUACUGCAUUGGAAACUGGUCAUCUAGAGUGUCGGAGGGGUAAGUGGAAUUCCUAGUGUAGCGGUGAAAUGCGUAGAUAUUAGGAGGAACACCAGUGGCGAAGGCGGCUUACUGGACGAUAACUGACGCUGAGGCUCGAAAGCGUGGGGAGCAAACAGGAUUAGAUACCCUGGUAGUCCACGCCGUANACGAUGAAUACUAGGUGUCGGAAAGCA
This 773-nucleotide ribosomal RNA is filed under the name uncultured bacterium. RNAcentral describes it as "bacterial SSU rRNA". It matches the Rfam family "Bacterial small subunit ribosomal RNA", at positions 60 to 832 of the family's 1533-position model. The record is from RNAcentral.